UCGGCCAGGCCUGAGAUGCCGGGAGGGUUUGACCCUGGGGCUGCAUGGACAGCUUAGCGCUCGGCCGCUGGCGACAGCGGAGGGCGGAGGAUCUGCAGGUUCCGGGGGACGUGCCCUGUCCUAGGCACUGGAGAUGAGAUGAAGAAACGAUGAGUAGAGGCCUUGCUUACGUUUAUCCUGCAACUCAUGAUGAGGCUUACUCUGCAACUCCAGUGCUCGGCUUUUUACACAACAGAGUCUCUGUUGCCCAGGCUGGAGUACAGUCGCACGAUCUUGGCUCACUGCAACCUCUGCCUCUCAGGUUCGAGUGAUUCUUCUGCCUCAGCCUCCCAAGUUGCUGGGAUUACAGAAACGGGUAUGCAGGAGAUUAGAAGCCAGUGGGCAUGAGCGUGGCUGCCACCAGGUGAAUGCCUGUGCCCUGGCGUCCUGGGGCCCAGAGGACCGGGAGCUUCCAUCAAGAGGCUGCCUCCCAGCACCAAGGCCAGAGAGUGGCCAGGGGAGGCUAAGUACAGGGAUUUCUCAGAAUGGUGGAAGGAGCUCAGCCCAGCCUUGCCCAAGAUGUAUUGCAGGGGAAUCUGGACAUUUUAGCCAUACCAAGAAUCAUUAGAAGAUGCAAGCUGGAAAAAAGAAGGUCCCAGUUUUGGUUUUGAACCCUUCAUGUUGCAGCAAAUGUGAAUCUCCUACAGAUGGGUUUGGGGACUUACCUGUUCAAAUAGCAGCCCGGUGUCCUCUGUGGGUGGGGGGAGGUUUGUCUGUCCUUUCAUUCUAGUAAAUCCACCAUCCUCUGCACGAGAGCCAGGAGAAUCCACAUCACUUCAAAAGAGCCCCCAAAUCCUUACUACGUACUACAGCCUCCUUUCGAAUGUUCCUGGUUGAGAGGGAGAUCAAUUGCAUUAUUUACAAGUCAAAAAAUUUUGUAUCAAACUUCCUAUGAGCUUGGGCACUCAUGGCCUAUGGAGGCCCACCCAGACGCAGCCCCGCCAUCAUGCUUUUUCGUUGUUUUGUGGAUGUACCCAGGGCUAUUUACACACUCUUUCAUUAAAAGGCUUAUUUUUAUAUUUAAA
This 1064-nucleotide long non-coding RNA is filed under the name Homo sapiens (human). RNAcentral's name for it is "HSALNT0360675". The record is from RNAcentral. Lineage: Eukaryota; Metazoa; Chordata; Mammalia; Primates; Hominidae.